This 419-nucleotide ribosomal RNA is filed under the name bacterium. RNAcentral's name for it is "partial 16S ribosomal RNA". It matches the Rfam family "Bacterial small subunit ribosomal RNA", at positions 355 to 776 of the family's 1533-position model. The record is from RNAcentral.
UGGGGGAUAUUGCACAAUGGGCGAAAGCCUGAUGCAGCGACGCCGCGUGGGGGAUGAAGGCCUUCGGGUUGUAAACUUCUUUUGCUCUGAACAAGGCAUGCUAAUGGGUGUGUUGAGUGUAGGGGUUGAUUAGCGCCGGCUAACUACGUGCCAGCAGCCGCGGUAAUACGUAGGGCGCGAGCGUUGUCCGGAAUUAUUGGGCGUAAAGGGCUUGUAGGUGGCUGGUUGCGUCUGUCGUGAAAGCUCAUGGCUUAACUGUGGGUUUGCGGUGGGUACGGGCUGGCUUGAGUGCAGUAGGGGAGGCUGGAAUUCCUGAUGUAGCGGUGGAAUGCGCAGAUAUCAGGAGGAAUACCGGUGGCGAAGGCGGGUCUCUGGGCUGUUACUGACACUGAGGAGCGAAAGCAUGGGGAGCGAACAGG